Molecule: non-coding RNA, 30 nt
Filed under: Mus musculus (house mouse)
Lineage: Eukaryota; Metazoa; Chordata; Mammalia; Rodentia; Muridae
Source: RNAcentral
UGGUGCUCCGUGGUUGUGAUUCUUACUGUC